UACGGAAGGGGCAAGCGUUGUUCGGAAUCAUUGGGCGUAAAGGGCGCGUAGGUUGUUUUGUGUGUCUGCCGUGAAAGCGUACAGCUCAACUGUAUUAGGUCGGUGGAAACUGCAAAACUUGAGGCUGGGAGGGGCUGGUGGAAUUCCCUGUGUAGCGGUGAAAUGCGUAGAGAUGGGGGAGAACACUCGUGGCGAAGGCGGCCAGCUGGACCAGUCCUGACACUGAGGCGCGACAGCGUGGGGAGCAAACAGG
RNAcentral lists this ribosomal RNA (253 nucleotides) under uncultured bacterium. RNAcentral's name for it is "partial 16S ribosomal RNA". It matches the Rfam family "Bacterial small subunit ribosomal RNA", at positions 524 to 776 of the family's 1533-position model. The record is from RNAcentral.